CAGCUGCUCUCAAGUACCAAGAUCAGGGAGCCCAGCCAUUGGCAGCAGCAAUGCAACACUGCCAGAGAUGAGUGACACUGUUCUUGAAGAUAAUAGAAGCACAAAUAAGUCAAAGAAAGAGAAGACCAAGCCUCAGAAAAAAAGUGCAGAGGAUGUAUAUACUCUGCAGUGUGCUGUCCUUGAAAAAGAACUAGAAAAAAA
Saccostrea echinata is the source of this 201-nucleotide long non-coding RNA. RefSeq lists it as uncharacterized. The transcript has 3 exons. Lineage: Eukaryota; Metazoa; Mollusca; Bivalvia; Ostreida; Ostreidae. The record is from RefSeq and is a predicted model, not a curated record.